This is a long non-coding RNA of Colius striatus (speckled mousebird), 944 nucleotides long. RefSeq lists it as uncharacterized. The record is from RefSeq and is a predicted model, not a curated record. NCBI's taxonomy places the organism in Eukaryota, Metazoa, Chordata, Aves, Coliiformes, Coliidae. The transcript is spliced from 4 exons.
CUGUCAGAACUGCAGCUACAUCCCCUCCUUUACCCUGAGUAAUUCCAUCUACAGCAGACUCCUAACUUACGUCCCUUGGAAGUGUGGAAAGAAAUCGGACUUUGACUGCCUCUUGCAUCGGCCAGUAAUGCAAGAGUCAUUCAGUGCUCCCACAUAGCUGGUGACAUGGGGAACUCAGCAAACUGAUAGCACCAAAUAAUUCAGCACCGUGCUCUUACGUCAGCAAGAUCUACUCUAAGGCAAGCACAGGGAUAAAUGCACGACAUGCACGGAAUGGAAAACUUUAAUCCAGAUUACUGUAAAGAAGAAGGAAGAUACUUUUCUUGCAUAAGGAUUAUUAUCUUGCACCAGUUUGCAGAUCUUUUAAUAUCUAGAGACCAAAGCAAAGCCAGUGGUGGUGGAAGGAGUUGGAGGAGAGAGAAGUGACUAUGAAGACCCCAAGGCUGGCAAGGAAAGAAAGGAGGAGGUGUGCUGGAGCAGAUUCCCCUGCAUCAGCAGCUGUCCCCAUGCACCCUGUGGAGAGUAGUGGUGGAGCUGAGAACUGUUGGCAGUUCAUAGAGGACCCCACACCAGGGGCAGUGACAGUGCCUGGAGGGACUGUGAAUUUGUGUGAGGGUUGCGUUGCAGCAGAAGGUGCCUGGAUGCUGCUGCCACAGAGAAGUCCCAUGCUGGAGGAGUUUGUGAGAAGCAGUCGUAGUUGUUGGGAUGAACUCAUGCUGGAGAGGUUCAUUAAAGACUGUAUCCUGUGGGAGGGCUCCAUAUUGGAGCAGGGGAAGAAUGCGAGGAACCGUCCUCCUCUGAGAAGAAAGAAGUGGCAGAGACCAUCUGUGAGGGACUGACACUGCUGAGGAUGGAGGAGGCAGAGAUAUCAGGAGCAGGGAGCUGAGCCCAGGAAGAAGAGAUGGGAGAGGGGAAGGAAAUCUUAAAGUGCUGGUUGUAUUUUU